UAGGGAAUCUUCGGCAAUGGACGAAAGUCUGACCGAGCAACGCCGCGUGAGUGAAGAAGGUUUUCGGAUCGUAAAACUCUGUUGUUAGAGAAGAACAAGGACGUUAGUAACUGAACGUCCCCUGACGGUAUCUAACCAGAAAGCCACGGCUAACUACGUGCCAGCAGCCGCGGUAAUACGUAGGUGGCAAGCGUUGUCCGGACUUAUUGGGCGUAAAGCGAGCGCGGGCGGUUUCUUAAGUCUGAUGUGAAAGCCCCCGGCUCAACCGGGGAGGGUCAUUGGAAACUGGGAGACUUGAGUGCAGAAGAGGAGAGUGGAAUUCCAUGUGUAGCGGUGAAAUGCGUAGAUAUAUGGAGGAACACCAGUGGCGAAGGCGGCUCUCUGGUCUGUAACUGACGCUGAGGCUCGAAAGCGUGGGGAGCAAACAGG
Molecule: ribosomal RNA, 429 nt
Filed under: Gemmatimonadota bacterium
Lineage: Bacteria; Pseudomonadati; Gemmatimonadota
Description: Gemmatimonadetes bacterium partial 16S ribosomal RNA
Rfam family: Bacterial small subunit ribosomal RNA
Source: RNAcentral